RNAcentral lists this ribosomal RNA (253 nucleotides) under uncultured bacterium. RNAcentral's name for it is "partial 16S ribosomal RNA". It matches the Rfam family "Bacterial small subunit ribosomal RNA", at positions 524 to 776 of the family's 1533-position model. The record is from RNAcentral.
UACGUAGGCAGCAAGCGUUGUUCGGAAUUACUGGGCGUAAAGAGUGUGUAGGCGGUGCUCUAAGUUCGUUGUGAAAUCUCCCGGCUUAACUGGGAGGGUGCGGCGGAAACUGGAGUGCUUGAGCGCGGGAGAGGAAAGCGGAAUUCCUGGUGUAGCGGUGAAAUGCGUAGAUAUCAGGAGGAACACCUGUGGUGUAGACGGCUUUCUGGACCCUAGCUGACGCUGAGACACGAAAGCGUGGGUAGCAAACAGG